ACUGGCUACUGUGCUGGCUGGUGAAUGGCUCGGCUCGAGAGCCGAUGACGGACGUGCCAAGCGGCGAUACGCUCAGGGGAGCUGCAUGGAAGCGAAGAACCUGAGAUUUCCGAAUGGGAAUCCCACAACACUUGCAUCACGCAAGGGGGAACGCUCUGAACUGAAACAUCUCAGUAGGAGCAGGAAGAGAACGCAAUUGCGAUGUCGUCAGUAACCGCGAGUGAACGCGACACAGUCCAAACCGAAUCCGACAGGAUAUGUGGUGUAUGGGCACACACAAUCGCGUGGCGGACCGAUCAGAACUCUCCUGGAACGGAGGGCGAGACAGGGUGACAGCCCCGUACGAUCUGUCCGACGCGUGAGGUGUGACCCGGAGUAGCGAGGGUUGGAUAUCCUUCGUGAAGGACGCAGGCAACGACUGCGAAGACUAAACACUCCUCGAGACCGAUAGCGCACACGUAGCGUGAGCGAACGAUGAAAAGCACCCCGAACAGGGCGGUGCAAAGAUCCUGAAAUCAGUCAGCGAAAGAACGAUGUGGCAUACAAGGUCACGAUCCGAACGACCGUGGGGCGACCCACCUGUAGGACGAUCGUGAAGCCGGUGUCACCUCGUGCGUUUUGAAAAACGAACCAGGGAGUGUGUCUCGUUGGCGAGCCUAACUGAUCGACUCAGGCAGGCGCAGGGAAACCGAUAUGGCCGCAAUCUUUGAUGAGGGCCACCGUGUUCAAGCGCGGGAAGUCAACGGGUCACGACCCGAAACCGAGUGAUCUACACGUGGGCAAGGUGAACCGUGGCGAAAGCCACGUGGAGGCCUGCUAGGGGUGGUAUCUUACAAUAUCCUCCCGUGACCUACGUGUAGGGGUGAAAGGCCCAUCGAACUCGGCAACAGCUGGUUCCAGCCGAAACAUGUCGAAGCAUGAUCUCAGCCGAGGUUGUCAGCGCGGUAGAGCGACCGAUUGGAUGUCCCGCCUCCGAGAGGAGUCGGCCAUCCUGUCAAACUCCGAACGUGCUGACGCUGUAGACGCUGGGAGUCCGGACUGCGGGGUAAGCUUGUGGUCCGUGAGGGAGACAACCCAGAGCAGGGUUAAGGUCCCAAAGUGUGGAUUAAGUGCAACGAAAGAUUGUCUCGAGUCCUAGACAGCCGGGAGGUGAGCUUAGAAGCAGCUACCCUCUAAGAAAAGCGUAACAGCUUACCGGCCGAGAUUCGGGGCGUCGAAAAUGAUCGGGGCUCAAAUCCACCACCGAGACCCUGCGGCACCCAUCACAGGGUGAUCCAGUAGGCUUGGCGCAGCGGUCGGGUAGAAGCACGGUCGAGAGAUCGUGUGGACCGUCCGGUGAUGACAAUCCUGGUCACAGUAGCAGCGAGAGUCGGGUGAGAUCCCCGACGGCCAUAUGAGCAAGGGUUCCUCGGCACUGUCAAUCAGCCGAGGGUCAGCCGGUCCUAAGUGACGCCGUAACACGACCGUCACGAACGGGAAACUGGUUAACAUUCCAGUGCCAUCAUGCACCGAAAUCGACGCUGUGGGGAACAGAGAGCGGGGCUAUCGCCCCGUCCAAGUGGGGAACAUCGUGGACGCCGUCAUGGCACGAAGCGAUCGAAGCCCACGAGUGCGCAAGUCUCUGCUACCCAGAGCCCGUGAAAAGAGAGCGUGAUGUCCGUACCCAGAUCCGACACAGGUGCUCAGGCGGCGAAAGCCACGGCCCGUCGGGACCAACCGGCGUUAGGGAAUUCGGCACGUUAGUCCCGUACCUUCGGAAGAAGGGAUGCCUGCUCGGCGACGAGCAGGUCGCAGUGACUCGGGCGCUCCGACUGUCUAAUAACAACAUAGGUGACCGCAAAUCCGCAAGGACUCGUACGGUCACUGAAUCCUGCCCAGUGCGGGUAUCUGAACACCGCGUACAAGCGGACGAAGGACCCGUCAACGGCGGGGGUAACUAUGACCCUCUUAAGGUAGCGUAGUACCUUGCCGCUUCAGUAGCGGCUUGCAUGAAUGGAUCAACGAG
RNAcentral lists this ribosomal RNA (2005 nucleotides) under saltern metagenome. Its description in RNAcentral is "bacterial LSU rRNA". It matches the Rfam family "Archaeal large subunit ribosomal RNA", at positions 1 to 2085 of the family's 2987-position model. The record is from RNAcentral.